GUUAAUGUCGGGGACGCGGGGGCGGUAAUACGAGGGGUGGAGGGGUUAGUGGGAAUUACUGGGCGGAAAGCGUGCUUAGGUGGGUCGUUAAGUCGGUCGUGAAAGCCCCGGGCGCAACCGGGGAAUGGCGAUGGAUACUGGCGGGCUAGAGUGCGGUAGAGGAGAGUGGAAUUCCCGGUGUAGCAGUGAAAUGCGUAGAGAUCGGGAGGAACAUCAGUUGCGAAGGCGGCUCUCUGGACCAGCACUGACACUGAGGCACGAAAGCGUGGGGAGCAAACAGGAUUAGAUACCCUAGUAGUC
Molecule: ribosomal RNA, 300 nt
Filed under: uncultured Desulfurococcus sp.
Lineage: Archaea; Thermoproteati; Thermoproteota; Thermoprotei; Desulfurococcales; Desulfurococcaceae
Description: bacterial SSU rRNA
Rfam family: Bacterial small subunit ribosomal RNA
Source: RNAcentral